CGGGUACGGGGUGUUAGGGCACGACACCGGAGAGGGAGCCUGAGAAACGGCUACCACAUCCAAGGAUGGCAGCAGGCGCGCAAAUUACCCAAUCCCGACACGGGGAGGUAGUGACAAUAAAUAACAAUACGGGGUUCUUUAGGAUCUCGUAAUUGGAAUGAGUACAAUUUAAAUCUCUUAACGAGGAACAAUUGGAGGGCAAGUCUGGUGCCAGCAGCCGCGGUAAUUCCAGCUCCAAUAGCGUAUAUUAAAGUUGUUGCAGUUAAAAAGCUCGUAGUUGAAUUUCGGGGUUAGUAGGUUGGUCAUGCCUCUGGUAUGUACUGGUCUCACUGAUUCCUCCUUCCUGAUGAACCUUAAUGCCAUUAAUUUGGUGUUUUGGGGAAUUUGGACUGUUACUUUGAAAAAAUUAGAGUGUUUAAAGCAAGCUAACGCUUGAAUACAUUAGCAUGGAAUAAUGAAAUAGGACGUUCGAUCCUAUUUUGUUGGUUUCUAGGAUUGACGUAAUGAUUAAUAGGGAUAGUUGGGGGCAUUAGUAUUCAAUUGUCAGAGGUGAAAUUCUUGGAUUUAUUGAAGACUAACUACUGCGAAAGCAUUUGCCAAGGAUGUUUUCAUUAGUCAAGAACGAAAGUUAGGGAUCGAAGACGAUCAGAUACCGUCGUAGUCUUAACCAUAACUAUGCCGACUAGGGAUCGGAUGAUGUUAAUUUUUUAAUGACUCAUUCGCGCCUUACGGGAAACAAU
RNAcentral lists this ribosomal RNA (740 nucleotides) under uncultured Rhizophagus. RNAcentral describes it as "SSU rRNA". It matches the Rfam family "Eukaryotic small subunit ribosomal RNA", at positions 356 to 1101 of the family's 1831-position model. Lineage: Eukaryota; Fungi; Glomeromycota; Glomeromycetes; Glomerales; Glomeraceae. The record is from RNAcentral.